AAUUGAGAGCAAGCUGUCUGUGACAUCUGUCAACCCCACUGAUGGCCAGAAUUGAUUUGGUGGAUCUGCCCUUCUGGAAAGGUGUCCUCUUUCUUCCUGGCUCUGCCACAUGUGUCUGUCCCAAAGCUGCAUGCUUCAUUGAAGAGGAUGAUUUUCCUAGAUAGAGGAGGACAAGGAUCUAUACGGAGUCAGGUUCUUCUGCUGGAAUAUCCAAGGCAUGUUAAGUAGGUUAUCCUGCCUGGGAUAGAUAAUGAGCCACUUGAAGGUGGAGAUUUCAUCUUU
RNAcentral lists this small nuclear RNA (282 nucleotides) under Tursiops truncatus (common bottlenose dolphin). Its description in RNAcentral is "7SK RNA (ENSTTRG00000024643.1)". It matches the Rfam family "7SK RNA". From Rfam's summary of the family: 7SK was discovered as an abundant small nuclear RNA in the mid-70s but a possible function has only recently been suggested. Two independent studies have found that 7SK RNA binds the CDK9/cyclin T complex (known as elongation factor P-TEFb). Lineage: Eukaryota; Metazoa; Chordata; Mammalia; Artiodactyla; Delphinidae. The record is from RNAcentral.